RNAcentral lists this long non-coding RNA (728 nucleotides) under Coturnix japonica (Japanese quail). RNAcentral describes it as "lncRNA (ENSCJPG00005015388.1)". The record is from RNAcentral. Lineage: Eukaryota; Metazoa; Chordata; Aves; Galliformes; Phasianidae.
UGAGGAGUAAAAUGUGUAGGCCCUCUGCAGCACAAUGAAAGCUUGCAUUUUUUUUCAACUUAUGCAUAUCCUUGCAAGAAGAAAAUCGAGUUAUACAAUUGAAGUAUUUCCAUUGCUUUUUCUUCAUUCUCUGUGUCCAGCUAUGCAGGAUCACGAAAACAUGCUAGUACCGAAGUAUAUUUUCUGAUGGUUUUUAUACAGCAAACAUGGUUGAGAAACAAAGAACUGAGACUGAAAUAAAGGCAGAUGUUUAUAAGGUAGAAGAUGGUUCACUUUAUAGCCUAAAUCUCUGCAGUACAUUUGACAUCUUUUCAUCAUCUAUGGUUGUACUUGCGCAGGAGGAAAUGGGCCCUUUACUACUCUUGUUACAGACUGAGCCACCUAGCAGUGAAAUUGAUUUUGCUUCAGCCACUGGAUUUUCAGCUUGAGCUGUGGUAGCAUUUGGAGAAGAGUCUGUGCAGGAUGUCAGGGAUCUAUUUUGAAGGAAAAUGUGAUGUGUUCCUAAACUGAAAGUAUCUGCACUCAUGGGAAAGUUCUGGAAGAAGGCUAAAUGAAAAAAGAUGCAGCUGGAUCUAAAAACCUGAGUUUUGUUACUAAGUGAGAAAUUGCAGUGUUUGGAGUGUUCGGCUGUGUAACUAAGGAUCAACAGAGUAUUAAGAAGGUAAAUGAUUUAAUUUACUGAUUAAUUAAAGCUGAAACAUUUUCUCUGAAUUUAAAACCAUCACAAG